This 305-nucleotide ribosomal RNA is filed under the name uncultured bacterium. RNAcentral describes it as "bacterial SSU rRNA". It matches the Rfam family "Bacterial small subunit ribosomal RNA", at positions 335 to 657 of the family's 1533-position model. The record is from RNAcentral.
UUUCCUACGGGGGGCAGCAGUGGGGGAUAUUGGACAAUGGGGGGAACCCUGAUCCAGCGACGCCGCGUGAGUGAAGAAGUAUUUCGGUAUGUAAAGCUCUAUCAGCAGGGAAGAAAAUGACGGUACCUGACUAAGAAGCCCCGGCUAACUACGUGCCAGCAGCCGCGGUAAUACGUAGGGGGCAAGCGUUAUCCGGAUUUACUGGGUGUAAAGGGAGCGUAGACGGAAUUGCAAGUCUGAUGUGAAAAUCCGGGGCCCAACCCCGGAAGUGCAUUGGAAACUGUAUUUCUAGAGUGUCGGAGAGG